UGAGGAAUAUUCGUCAAUGGGGGGAACCCUGAACGAGCAACGCCGCGUGGAGGAUGAAGGCCCUUGGGUUGUAAACUCCUUUUCGGAGGGAAGAGGAAGGACGGUACCUUCGGAAUAAGUCACGGCUAACUACGUGCCAGCAGCCGCGGUAAUACGUAGGUGGCAAGCGUUAUCCGGAAUUACUGGGCGUAAAGCGCACGCAGGCGGCUGUCCAAGUCUGACGUGAAAGCUCCUGGCUUAACUGGGAGAGGUCGUUGGAAACUAGAUGGCUUGAGGCGAGGAGAGGGGUGUAGAAUUCCCGGUGUAGUGGUGGAAUGCGUAGAUAUCGGGAGGAAUACCGAGUGGCGAAAGCGGCACCCUGGCCUUGGCCUGACGCUCAGGUGCGAAAGCGUGGGUAGCG
This 400-nucleotide ribosomal RNA is filed under the name uncultured bacterium. RNAcentral's name for it is "bacterial SSU rRNA". It matches the Rfam family "Bacterial small subunit ribosomal RNA", at positions 355 to 770 of the family's 1533-position model. The record is from RNAcentral.